UGAAAAAAUCACUCGCGCGGACUUGGAAUUUUUUGUUUUUAUUUUGAGUUUUUCAAGUUAAUCGAUAAAAGUUUUAAAAACUUCGAAAAAUUCGGAUUGUUGACUGGUGUCGUUGUAUUGCGGACUUUUCGACCGAUAACUCUUUUUCCUCGGUGCUGCCACAACAGCAGUGCCAGUCCUUAACCCCAUCGAAGAACCCAGCUGAUCAAUAAUAACGAAUUCGAUAAUGCUGCAUUGGAUCACGAAAAACCAACCGCCACUGUGGCAGUUCCCCGGUGGCUAAUAAGUGAAAAGCUAAAACAAAGCCGAAAUCAUGGGCCAAUCCUCCGAUGUCACGCACCGUCCCUGCCGGCCAACUAAAAGAACAGUGUCCCCAUCCUCAAGCUUAUUACAUAAUUCUCGAAACAGCCACACGAAGAGGUCCAACACGUACAGCGACUCGCCGGGAAAUCAGCGGACAUCUGCCCUUCGGUGGGCACGGACGGCGGCCCUUCAAACGGCCUUCAGUACGAGAAAAAAAAUAGACGACAAGCAGCAUCACCCCCACCACCAACAGCCACAGGAUCUAUUGCAAUCCGACGACUCCGUUUCAGAUCAGUCCGACAGGUUAUAAACCGAUGGUGGCGAGCCGAAAAACGUUAUUUACAGCGGCAAAGCGUAGAUCUACUCGAGGAUCUACUACAACGACGGCAAAGGAAGAUCGGGCUAGCUCUAUAUUAAAUCGCAUACCGUUAUUACUCAUCCAGCACAAGCAUUAAAAGCACAAGGUCAAAAAGAUCCGGGAUAGAGCAAACGUCAUGAGCCUGGCGGGAACUACUUGCGCAAACUCAGCAGGAUGUAAACAGUGUCGCCGCUCAAUAUAAUUCAACUUGGGAUGGGCAUUAGACGUAGGAUAACCCAUAGCUGAGACGUUUGCUCCUGCCAUCAUCACUUCAGAAGUUCAAAUCCACCAGGAUGAUUAUCAGCCGUUAUACGCAUAAUUGCCCCAUGUUAUUUCGGAGGGCAUUGUUGGGAAUCGAUGGGUUCACACUUAACCAGAAACCAGUUUUACUGAGUUUAUUCGGUAAUCAGUCAAAUUUCACGUUUUCCGCUAAAUUUCCUUGUAAUCACCGAUACCUGUAAAAUGUAUUACCGAUGUUCGAGAGUUUCAUCUGGAUUUACCGAAAUCUGUGUUUAAUCUCACUGAAAAAUUUGUAAUAUAGACAUUACACACAUUACAUCUAGUGGCUAUCUUCCUCGCUUUCUGCAAUUCAUCGAUUGGGAGUAAUAAUGGAGGUUUACCAUCGGUCGAGCCAUCGGUACAAAACACCUGACGAAUUAUAUUUACCAGCACGCAUUUCAUCGCUAGGAAAUGUUUCUGCAUUCUAUGCUACACAUCGAAUAAUACACGAUAGAUUUCGUUGGUAACUUUGACGGGAUACAUCAUCAGAUCACCAAGAGUUUUGUGAACGUGUGUAUGUAGCGGAU
This is a long non-coding RNA of Armigeres subalbatus, 1467 nucleotides long. RefSeq lists it as uncharacterized. Lineage: Eukaryota; Metazoa; Arthropoda; Insecta; Diptera; Culicidae. The record is from RefSeq and is a predicted model, not a curated record. The transcript has 3 exons.